GCGCCCAUAGCUCAGUUGGAUAGAGCAACGGACUUCUAAUCCGUAGGUCGUAGGUUCGAAUCCUACUGGGCGUG
This 74-nucleotide transfer RNA is filed under the name Rubripirellula sp. Its description in RNAcentral is "tRNA-Arg". It matches the Rfam family "tRNA". From Rfam's summary of the family: Transfer RNA (tRNA) molecules are approximately 80 nucleotides in length. Their secondary structure includes four short double-helical elements and three loops (D, anti-codon, and T loops). RNAcentral also lists the same sequence under 5 other names. Lineage: Bacteria; Pseudomonadati; Planctomycetota; Planctomycetia; Pirellulales; Pirellulaceae. The record is from RNAcentral.